This 425-nucleotide ribosomal RNA is filed under the name uncultured bacterium. Its description in RNAcentral is "bacterial SSU rRNA". It matches the Rfam family "Bacterial small subunit ribosomal RNA", at positions 354 to 796 of the family's 1533-position model. The record is from RNAcentral.
GUGGGGAAUAUUGGACAAUGGGCGAAAGCCUGAUCCAGCCAUGCCGCGUGAGUGAUGAAGGCCCUAGGGUUGUAAAGCUCUUUCAACGGUGAAGAUAAUGACGGUAACCGUAGAAGAAGCCCCGGCUAACUUCGUGCCAGCAGCCGCGGUAAUACGAAGGGGGCUAGCGUUGUUCGGAAUUACUGGGCGUAAAGCGCACGUAGGCGGACUAUUAAGUCAGGGGUGAAAUCCCGGGGCUCAACCCCGGAACUGCCUUUGAUACUGGUAGUCUCGAGUCCGGAAGAGGUGAGUGGAAUUCCGAGUGUAGAGGUGAAAUUCGUAGAUAUUCGGAGGAACACCAGUGGCGAAGGCGGCUCACUGGUCCGGUACUGACGCUGAGGUGCGAAAGCGUGGGGAGCAAACAGGAUUAGAAACCCUGGUAGUCC